This 371-nucleotide ribosomal RNA is filed under the name uncultured organism. RNAcentral describes it as "bacterial SSU rRNA". It matches the Rfam family "Bacterial small subunit ribosomal RNA", at positions 526 to 896 of the family's 1533-position model. The record is from RNAcentral.
CGAACCGAGCGAACGUUGUUCGGAAUCACUGGGCUUAAAGGGCGCGUAGGCGGAUUCUCAAGUCCGGGGUGAAAUCCCACAGCUCAACUGUGGAACUGCCUCGGAUACUGGGAGUCUCGAGGGUGGCAGGGGUAUGCGGAACUAUCGGUGGAGCGGUGAAAUGCGUUGAUAUCGAUAGGAACUCCGGUGGCGAAGGCGGCAUACUGGUCCACUUCUGACGCUGAGGCGCGAAAGCCAGGGGAGCAAACGGGAUUAGAUACCCCGGUAGUCCUGGCCCUAAACGAUGGGUACUAGCUAGUAGGGUUCACAUGGCUUUACUGGCGAAGCAAAAGUGCUAAGUACCCCGCCUGGGGAGUAUGGUCGCAAGGCUG